GACGAACGCUGGCGGCGUGCUUAACACAUGCAAGUCGAACGGAAAGGCCCUGCUUUUGUGGGUGCUCGAGUGGCGAACGGGUGAGUAACACGUGAGUAACCUGCCCUUGACUUUGGGAUAACUUCAGGAAACUGGGGCUAAUACCGGAUAGGAGCUCCUGCUGCAUGGUGGGGGUUGGAAAGUUUCGGCGGUUGGGGAUGGACUCGCGGCUUAUCAGCUUGUUGGUGGGGUAGUGGCUUACCAAGGCUUUGACGGGUAGCCGGCCUGAGAGGGUGACCGGCACAAUGGGGAAGGGGAUCCGGCCCAGACCCCUAGGGGGGGAGGCGGGGGGGAAUUUUGCACAAGGGGGGGAAGCCUGAGGAAGAACCGCCGGGGGGGGAAUGCCGGCUUUGGGUGUGAAAACCGUUUUCCCCUGUGACGAAGGGUGGGUGGGGGAAAGGGGAAAAAAACCACCGGCUAACUACG
Molecule: ribosomal RNA, 465 nt
Filed under: uncultured bacterium
Lineage: Bacteria
Description: partial 16S ribosomal RNA
Rfam family: Bacterial small subunit ribosomal RNA
Source: RNAcentral